Molecule: long non-coding RNA, 2270 nt
Organism: Piliocolobus tephrosceles (Ugandan red Colobus)
Lineage: Eukaryota; Metazoa; Chordata; Mammalia; Primates; Cercopithecidae
Exons: 2
Source: RefSeq, a predicted model, not a curated record
GUGUAGCUGGGGCCACGCAGUCGCGGGCGUUCCUGUCACGCAACUUCGGCGCGGCUGCUCUUUCUUCCAGCUUGGGGCCGUCAUUAUGUUUUCCUUCCUUAAAACAUCCCUAUGCACACUUUGUCAUCAUGUUUUUCUCUGCUGAACCAAACUUUAAUUGUUGAUCAGCAAAUGCUUCUAGAAAACCCAGGCAAAACCGCAGCGGCACAGCGAGCGAGGCACCCCCGCCUGCCAGCGGAUCCUGCAGCCCGGCCCAGAGCCGCCCGCCGCGGGACCGGCGCCUUCCCUCUGCCGGAGCGGACAAAGACGCCGGAGGGCGGGGGCUCAGGCAGCCCGCGGGGCGCCUCCCUCCCGCAGCUGCAGAACAAAGACGCAUCCGCCCUCCGCAGCCGGCCCCAUUCUAGGAAACGUCUAUACAGAUGGCUUAUCAGGGCAGGCGCUGGGAAUACCCGGGGCGGGGUGACCUGGGUCUAGAGCAAGGCCCUCAGGCCCGCCGCUGGCGGCAGCGCCGCUAAGGAUCUGCCUUAAAGGGAAACACUUUUUUUUCUUUUUUUUUUUUCCUAGAAAUGCUCACCAAGGGCUGCAGGAGGGCCGGGAUCUGCGGGCUCACGACCCGGUGCAGCCUGGAUGCUCUGUUUUCCUCUUGUGCACGUGUUGAGUUUGUGUUUAAAAACAGGGAGAAACCGAGCCCAUUUACAUAGCACCAUCACCACCUGCAAAGACCAGAAACGACUGCGGUGAAGUGCUGGACCCCACAAGGACACCGAACACCAAACACCCCGUUUUGCUGCUUUUCAAGACGGUGUGCCAAUUAAGUACCCAUGAAAACUGCUUUUCUGCUUCUUUUAAGGUUCUGCUGGGAGGGUAGCCUCUGAGUGCCCUGUAUCCCUGCUGGGACCCUUAGGCGUCCUGGCUCUAGGCAAACACAAAGAUACUGUACCGAGCACGGGAAGCGGUAGAUGGACCUCCAAGUGGACACAGACUCCGGGGAUGAGGGAGGGCCAACCCGACCAUGCUUCCCUCGGAAGGGGAGCCAGUAAUACUGGCCGGAGACAGGGGUGCAGAAUGUCAGCUAUACCAACUCACGGGCAUCCUGUUCAGGACAAAAGCCCAGAGGCAGGCCUAAGUCAAGGCUUGUGGGUACCGACAAUAGUAUUUCGACGUGAUCUGACAAAAUUGGAAAGGAAAUAUUUCAUGGGACAUUCAUGAGUUCCCCAAAUUUGAAGGCAACAAAACUGUUCUGUUGAACUUGGGGGAAAAAUCGUUCAGAUUUCAACCAUGGAAUUCAUUGCUACAACAAUAAAUAUGUUUGCCUUUGUUUUUCUCCUGUUAAAAUACAGGUAUACCAAAGUCUCUGGUGAUCACAGAACACUACUUCAUGUGCCUAUGUAAUGAAAUCAUCCAAAACCACUAAAUCUAGAGUAGGUAUAAUAUCAAGACGCAUUGUAACCUAAAUCCAAAUUAUCCUCACCAAAUACCAGAAAAGAAAGUGAACUUGAUAAAGGCUCUUGCCUAGAUGAUGGAAUGGGAAAGGACUGAAGAGCAGAUAAAGAGCUUGGUAGACCUCUGAGUAUCUCACAUUUUCUCUGACUCAAGCACAAUCAGUUUGAGACUGAAUUCCAUGGUGACUGCUACUUCUAUGAGUACCAGAUUAGCUGAUGCGUGGUCAGUGCAAUUCCACAAGUGAUUAUCGAGCACCUACUAACAUCUGUCACUGUGGUGGUCAUUUGUGACACGAAGUGAUUACAAUAUCUUAAGAAGUUCACAGUCUUAUGGAAGAGAAGGCCAGUGAACAGACAAAGCUGAUGCCAUUUUUAUGUAAAGUGAAAGAAAUGUGUAAGAGAUGAAUGAGAAGCCAAUACUAAUUGGCGAAGUCAAGGAGGAGAUGGUCUUUGCUCUGAACCCCUGAGGGUAAGAAGAUGAGGGAAUAAGUUUCCUGGACAGACAAGAGGCGGCGGGAGUCCCAGGCUCAGGAGUAACAGGGCACACACAGUCAGGGGCCUGUGACAAGAUUUACCAUCUCUUCCGGGCUACACAGGUAUCUUUGUGGGUAAGGCUGAUGUGCUGUCUGCAUAUGGGAAGAUGCCACAUUCUCGGGGCACCCCACAGGAGUGUCUUAAGAGUGACAUCCAAGAGCUUCUAAUUAGUCAAGUACCACAAAUGUCUGUUCGUCUCCAAACAACCCUACAGGCUGCUGGAAGUUUCAAGUUUCUAAAACUCUCUUUUAUUCUCAUAAUAUAUUUUCAAUAAAAUGCUAAAUUGCACUUCAA